This 497-nucleotide ribosomal RNA is filed under the name uncultured bacterium. Its description in RNAcentral is "bacterial SSU rRNA". It matches the Rfam family "Bacterial small subunit ribosomal RNA", at positions 903 to 1397 of the family's 1533-position model. The record is from RNAcentral.
AAAUGAAUAGACGGGGACCCGCACAAGCAGUGGAGUAUGUGGUUUAAUUCGAAGCUACGCGAAGAACCUUACCAGGGUUUGACAUCCUACUAACGAAGCAGAAAUGCAUAAGGUGCCCUUCGGGGAAAGUAGAGACAGGUGGUGCAUGGUUGUCGUCAGCUCGUGUCGUGAGAUGUUGGGUUAAGUCCCGCAACGAGCGCAACCCUUAUCGUUAGUUGCCAGCACUUAAGGUGGGCACUCUAGCGAGACUGCCGAUGAUAAAUCGGAGGAAGGUGGGGAUGACGUCAAAUCAUCAUGCCCCUUAUAUCCUGGGCUACACACGUACUACAAUGGCCGUUAACAGAGGGCAGCAAUCCCGCAAGGAGGAGCAAAUCCCUAAACGCGGCCCCAGUUCAGAUUGCAGGCUGCAACUCGCCUGCAUGAAGUAGGAAUUGCUAGUAAUCGCAAAUCAGAAUGUUGCGGUGAAUACGUUCCCGGGUCUUGUACACACCGCCCGU